This 498-nucleotide ribosomal RNA is filed under the name uncultured Glomeromycotina. Its description in RNAcentral is "partial small subunit ribosomal RNA". It matches the Rfam family "Eukaryotic small subunit ribosomal RNA", at positions 591 to 1092 of the family's 1831-position model. Lineage: Eukaryota; Fungi; Glomeromycota. The record is from RNAcentral.
CCAAUAGCGUAUAUUAAAGUUGUUGCAGUUAAAAAGCUCGUAGUUGAAUUUCGGGACUAAUAUGUCGGUCGUACUUUGUACGUACUAGCAUUAUUGGUUUCUCCCUUCUGAAGAACCAUGAUGUCAUUAAUUUGGUGUCUUGGGGAAUCAGGACUGUUACUUUGAAAAAAUUAGAGUGUUUAAAGCAGGCUCGCGCUUGAAUACAUUAGCAUGGAAUAAUGAAAUAGGACGUUUGAUUCUAUUUUGUUGGUUUCUAGGAUCGACGUAAUGAUUAAUAGGGAUAGUUGGGGGCAUUAGUAUUCAAUUGUCAGAGGUGAAAUUCUUGGAUUUAUUGAAGACUAACUACUGCGAAAGCAUUUGCCAAGGAUGUUUUCAUUAAUCAAGAACGAAAGUUAGGGGAUCGAAGACGAUCAGAUACCGUCGUAGUCUUAACCAUAAACUAUGCCGACUAGGGAUCGGAUGAUGUUAAUUUUUUAAUGACUCAUUCGGCGCCUUACG